AUCGUACUCUCUCCGUUCGGAAAUACUUGUUGUGAAAAUGGAUGUAUCUAGAUGUAUUUUACUUCUAGAUAUAUUUAUUUGUAUGAUAAGUAAUUCCGAACGAAGGGAGUAGAAU
Non-coding RNA from Hordeum vulgare subsp. vulgare (domesticated barley), 115 nucleotides. The record is from Rfam. NCBI's taxonomy places the organism in Eukaryota, Viridiplantae, Streptophyta, Magnoliopsida, Poales, Poaceae.